Molecule: ribosomal RNA, 483 nt
Filed under: uncultured bacterium
Lineage: Bacteria
Description: partial 16S ribosomal RNA
Rfam family: Bacterial small subunit ribosomal RNA
Source: RNAcentral
AUUGAACGCUGGCGGCAGGCCUAACACAUGCAAGUCGAGCGGAUGAAGGGAGCUUGCUCCUGGAUUCAGCGGCGGACGGGUGAGUAAUGCCUAGGAAUCUGCCUGGUAGUGGGGGAUAACGUCCGGAAACGGGCGCUAAUACCGCAUACGUCCUGAGGGAGAAAGUGGGGGAUCUUCGGACCUCACGCUAUCAGAUGAGCCUAGGUCGGAUUAGCUAGUUGGUGGGGUAAAGGCCUACCAAGGCGACGAUCCGUAACUGGUCUGAGAGGAUGAUCAGUCACCUGGGAACGGGGACCCGGUCCCGCCCCCUACGGGGGGCCGCAGGGGGGAAUUUUGGACAAUGGGCGAAAGCCUAACCCAGCCUUCCCGGGUGGUGGAAGAAGGUCUUCGGUUUGUAAAGCACUUUAAGUUGGGAGGAAGGGCAGUAAGUUAAUCCCUUGCUUUUUUGGCGUUACCAACAGAAAAAGCCCCGGCUAACUUCGU